UCCGUAGGCGGGCAAUUAAGUCAGAGGUGAAAUCCCACAGCUCAACUGUGGAACUGCCUUUGAUACUGGUUGUCUUGAGUUACAGUGAAGUAGAUAGAAUAUGUAGUGUAGCGGUGAAAUGCAUAGAUAUUACAUAGAAUACCGAUUGCGAAGGCAGUCUACUAACUGUCGACUGACGCUAAGGGACGAAAGCGUGGGGAGCGAACAGGAUUAGAUACCCUAGUAGUC
This 228-nucleotide ribosomal RNA is filed under the name uncultured bacterium. RNAcentral's name for it is "partial 16S ribosomal RNA". It matches the Rfam family "Bacterial small subunit ribosomal RNA", at positions 568 to 795 of the family's 1533-position model. The record is from RNAcentral.